CAGCCGCCACGGUAAUACGAAGGGGGCUAGCGUUGCUCGGAAUGACUGGGCGUAAAGGGCGCGUAGGCGGCGGCCAAAGUCAGGCGUGAAAUUCCUGGGCUCAACCUGGGGGCUGCGUUUGAUACUUGGUUGCUUGAGUGGGGAAGAGGGUCGUGGAAUUCCCAGUGUAGAGGUGAAAUUCGUAGAUAUUGGGAAGAACACCGGUGGCGAAGGCGGCGACCUGGUCCUUUACUGACGCUGAGGCGCGAAAGCGUGGGGAGCAAACAGGAUUAGAUACCCCAGUAGUCCCUGUCUCUUAUAC
This 301-nucleotide ribosomal RNA is filed under the name uncultured bacterium. Its description in RNAcentral is "partial 16S ribosomal RNA". It matches the Rfam family "Bacterial small subunit ribosomal RNA", at positions 509 to 807 of the family's 1533-position model. The record is from RNAcentral.